UGGGGGAUAUUGCACAAUGGGCGAAAGCCUGAUGCAGCGACGCCGCGUGAGGGAAGACGGCCUUCGGGUUGUAAACCUCUGUCAUUCGGGACGAAGUAUGACGGUACCGAAGAAGGAAGCUCCGGCUAACUACGUGCCAGCAGCCGCGGUAAUACGUAGGGAGCGAGCGUUGUCCGGAAUUACUGGGUGUAAAGGGAGCGUAGGCGGGAAAGCAAGUUGGAAGUGAAAUGCAUGGGCUUAACCCAUGAGCUGCUUUCAAAACUGUUUUUCUUGAGUGAAGUAGAGGCAGGCGGAAUUCCUAGUGUAGCGGUGAAAUGCGUAGAUAUUAGGAGGAACACCAGUGGCGAAGGCGGCCUGCUGGGCUUUAACUGACGCUGAGGCUCGAAAGCGUGGGUAGCAAACA
RNAcentral lists this ribosomal RNA (403 nucleotides) under uncultured bacterium. Its description in RNAcentral is "bacterial SSU rRNA". It matches the Rfam family "Bacterial small subunit ribosomal RNA", at positions 355 to 774 of the family's 1533-position model. The record is from RNAcentral.